GCUGCCGGGAGCACCAGACCUCCCAGAAUGCACCACUCGGGGAGGUUCCAAUGCAUCAGCCCUCUCAUUAAACCUGAAGCUCAGGUGUGGAGGAGCGAGAGCACAAAGGACUGGAGUGACAGCAGAAGUGGCCGGCAUGAGACGUGACAGAAACUAAGUUGGGAAGGAUCCAUGUGAGAAGCAAAACGCUGCCUGAGCUCCGGGGCACUCCGCCAGAGGCAAUCAGCCGGGUGGGAACUUCACAGAGGCGAUGAAACCGGAGUCUUAAGCCUCUCUGCAGCAUCCACCUGAAAUCAUCCCGUCCUGCUGCAGGCCUCGCUGGCUUUCUCUCUGCGUUCCGGCACAGUGCAUCAUAAAUACUCAGGUGCCGAUCCUGUGGUUGCUCCGAGCUCGAGGUGUCCAGGUGUGCCAACAAUCAUCUGGGCUGCAUUUACAUGGAUCUGGUUCAAUCAUUCAAACUUCACGGUGGGUGUGAGAUCGGAUCGACUGCAGGGACGACACAUACCGGGAGGAUCGGGUCAUGUGGCAUUCAAUCACCUGCUCCAAAACCUAUCCACCAAUAAACCUCCAUCAAAAAAAGUUACGGCGAAGGCCCAGUAUUUGUUUUGCCAAAGAUUUCUUUUGUGCGUGAGGGGUGAGGCAUUGAACUGUUCAGAGCACCCACAGCAGCACAUAUCAGCACCUGUUGUUACAGGGGUUUACUUUUGCCAAGACGGUAGCAUUUGAAUUGACUUGAACCACUGCACUUAAACUUUAUGGACUCUGCAUUCACAGCAGCGGCAGCAGGGUUGUAACCCCGGUGCACUUUAACAUGUCUUAUUCAGAACCACAGUGGACUCUCUCUGCAGGUGUAAUCGGAGCGGUGAGGCUGCACUGUGGCACUGUUUUGAAUUCCGGCCGGUUCAGCUCACCUCCACUUUGCGGUGACCCGCGCUCCUGACGAGCCGCAGUGCUUCCAGACACCGGCCUGACGCGAUGAAUAGAUUUUUUUUUUUAAUGGACACCUCCAGCUUUCUUUACCCGAGGCAGCAACUGUGUACACACCGCCUUGUUUUCGCACUCUAACAAGCUGCCGAGCUGCACCGCCGAGAAAACGGCUGCUUAAGUGAGAACAAUUGAUAUUUGAGUUAGCGACGCUGAAUGAGGGAAGCAGGAGAGCGGCUGUGCUGUGAUCCUGAGCCAAAAGGAAAAGUGAUUUGUUCUUCUGCGGCAUUACUCAGUGUGUUUAUGCUAUUAGUUGUUUUUAAGGAGAUGAUUAAAAACUGUUAAAUGGGAAUAUUUAGCCAAAUAACACUGUUUUCUUCUGCUAGAGCAACUCAGGAUGACAUGGUUUAUUUCUAACCAUUCAAUCUUUAUAAAGCAACAUAUUCUCUGAAGUAGAGGCAAACAAGUGGGAAAGCUGUGUUUGAAAGUCUGUUUUGCAUUACUGUACAGUCAACCCGGUCAAUACUCUCAUGUUAAGUGUGUUUUUGAGCUGGAAUCUAAAUCAUAUGACUGUUCUUUGUUUAAAUACAUUAAUGAUGUUGGUUUUGAUAUGGAUUAAAAAAGAUUUAUAAUGGAUAAACUACUAGCUGCAUUUUUAUUCCAGCAUACUUUAUGUGAAAUAAAAUCACUGUGCCCUGA
Molecule: long non-coding RNA, 1623 nt
Organism: Platichthys flesus (European flounder)
Lineage: Eukaryota; Metazoa; Chordata; Actinopteri; Pleuronectiformes; Pleuronectidae
Exons: 4
Source: RefSeq, a predicted model, not a curated record